RNAcentral lists this long non-coding RNA (5101 nucleotides) under Linum usitatissimum (flax). RNAcentral's name for it is "long non-coding RNA (LUSI_LNC004839)". Lineage: Eukaryota; Viridiplantae; Streptophyta; Magnoliopsida; Malpighiales; Linaceae. The record is from RNAcentral.
GGGUGCUCUGCCCCUUCCAUCCCCGGUUACAACUGAAGCAGCAUCCUUCCACCCUACCAUUUGCAUUCUUCGUCGAAUAACAUCGAGUGGAUAAGCAACUGUCUGGCCAACAGUUCCAGCUGCGGCUCCACAUGCAAGCCUUGUCGGUACACUCAGUUCGUUGUUUUCGACCAGGUUAAAUGUGUUGGACUUCAGCAACCAGUCUUUUAGGGAUUCAUAAACAGCAAAGUUGAGACCCACAUACGGUACCUGUAAUUAUAACAAGAUAACAGCAUUCAAUUUUGAGGCUUUUCAGUAGGGGAGAGAGAAAAGUAGAUCUCUUUCGGUUAAUACAUCAGUAUCGAGGUUAAAUACAUAGGAUCAAACAAUCAGGGGAAAUUUGAAAUUUCCACCAUAUCAAACUGCAGCACAUUCAAUCAAAGAACAUGAAUAUGCCCUGUGCUGUGAUGGUACAUAAUCCUUAUAACUUGUUUUUGGUAAAAGUACCCUAAUAAUGGCGAUAAACAAACCAAUGAACAAGGAAAUCAUUCACUUACAACUCCUAUGACGGAAGGAAGCCAGCCCUUGUAUAAUGCACGAGGCCCUUCUUCCUUCAGGACAGUUCUAAGAGCAUGAGCAAUACCUCUGUACUGACGAGGAGACUGAUCUGUCUGAGAAAAAAGCAACCAUAUGAACAGAUUUAGAGUAGAAGGGAUAAGAUGAAAUAGCAAGUUUCAGCGGAGCGUCACAAACUCUACCUGGACAGUUAGGCGACCUCUAACCAAGUCCAUCGGGUAAGUAGCUGACAUGGCGAUUAUACCAGCACAAGCACCAGCUCCCAGACGCAAAACAGGAGUAAGCUGUGCAUCAUCUGCAAGACGGAGAGAUUGACGCUCAAACAAUAUUUUAAAAACCCGGAUCACUCACUAUCCAUGAGCAAUUGAAUGCGAAAACUGAUGAACAUUAGCUGGCAACAAAAUUACUAUACCUUUUCCAGUUUGGCGCCUAUAGAACCAUAGAAUACCCCUGUUUAUGACAAGAGAACAGACACGAAUAAAUUCUUCAGAAGGCUGAGAUAUAGUAAACUAGAAUAACAUGAUAUAAAAACUUGCAUCUAGCACUUUCUACUGAACACAGUUCAUAAAAUUAAUGCCCAAGUCAAUAAACUAGAAAUUCAAGAGAACGAGGCAGAAAAGCGUACUCAGAGGCUUUCUCGUAACUGAAGAACUUGACAGCUGAAUUUGGUACAAUUCGAGCACAGUUCGUGCCAUUUCCUUUAAACAAUCCUCUGAAACCCUCGGUUCUCCAAAUGUAUUUCAACCCCUGAAUUGUACCAUUGUAUUUUAUACUGUGUCGAUUUUGGACCUGCAUAUAUCAAAUCAGAGCCAUCCGUCACCAAAUCAACCGAAACCUGCAGGACGUUCACAGUACUUACCCAUCUGUCUCUAAACAGUGGACCAAGACGGAAUAAAGGAACAAGAAGUCUACAUACAGAACUCUGUGACCGCCGAGAUAUGCGCAACAAAAUGAUCCUGAAAUAUGUCAGGAAAUUACCUGGAGUAGAAUUUUUAGUCUUUCUAGUGGAGCAACAGCUGUGCGGGACCUGCAACGUACACCAUAUCAACACUUCUGAUAAACAACGCAGCUGUAGAAGAGAUAAAAUCACCCAGCCUACAGAAACAGAUGCUUUACUUUGCAUUAUGGAAAGGGAAAGAAAGAAAGAUAGAAUCUUGGCCAAGUGUACAAACCAUUAGGUGAAAACAAAGACCACAUAUAGCAUCAUUUCAAUUUGACAAUCAAGUAAUCAACCAAAUUGAAAAUGUCUCCUCCUCCAACAUCACCACUAAAAGACCACGGUAGCAGACACCACGACCAUCCAAACAUCAAAUUGGAACGAAAAAGAAAAUCUGAAAGAGAAAUUACACCUUAAUUUGACAAAUAGUUUGAGAUAUCGUCAAUCAGUCUACAGCAUGAACUACCGUACAGUUAAAAUCCUCACAAACCCACGGCAAAAAAUAUCCAACCAUUAGUAAGCAUUCAAAUCAAUUUGACAGAGCAGUAUCAUGAUGUUUAAGUUGCUAUGUCUAGAUUCAACCCAUAACUCAGCUGGUACUGAUGAUAUCAAUCAAUCGGUUGGAAGAGCUGGAUGCUAGACAAUCAAAUAAACAUAUUAUCUAAGAACUAGGGAUUCAGCAACAAACAAGAAAAGGACCGAUGAUUCUACGUCAAACCCAAUACGAUUCCCUCCGAUACAUACACAGAGCAACAGCCAUAAAUUAAUUAAUUAUAAACGAAAACAAUCAAGAAAUCGUUUUAAAAAAGAAAACUCACACUCCUCCGGCAACACCACCGGCGACGAGGGAUUUGCAGAUGCUGAGGAAAGCGGGGCCCUGAGUCUUGACACCUUCACGAGCUAGCUUGGCCUCUUCAGUAGCGAGAUUGACGAUCGUCGAAACAGCAGCCUCCCCACUAGUCUUCACAUCUUCGGACGCCAUAGUCUGUACGAAGAAGAAAUAAACAAAGAACUCUCUUUUUCAGCAGCCAAAAUUUGUGUCGGGAUUGCGGCGGCGAUGUGCAAAGUCUGAUGCAGAACGCCAGAUUCAGGGAGGCGUCUCUGCGAGGUGGAGGGCCGAGGGAGUGACUAGUGAGUAGUGAGAGCUGUUGAUUACAAAAGGGAAAGCUAAAAUAGGAUUUAUUAGUUAAAUGCUAUUUCUGGUAUGAUCAAUAUGCAAUAAGAAUUUGGGGUUUAGGCUUUAGGGUUUUUAAAAUUCACCAUUUUUUUUUGUUAAAUAGUGAUUAUGUCUAUAUGAUAUAUUUUUAGUAUCCGUUUUGGAAUGGAGAGGUUUGGAGAUGGUCGCAUUAUUCAUUUAUUUUCAUGACAGUUAUUUAUUAAUCAUAAUCAUUCUCAUUUUUAUUAUAGUGACAAAAUUACUUCUAUCACUAUACUCACGCGGUUAAUGUUUAUAACCACUCUCAACGUUAUUUAACGUUACGCAAAAAGAAAUGAAAACCAAAAGUGAAAAAUGGAUCAAAGAGUGGCGGAUGAGAUAUUUUCAAGGAAGAAAUGAAUAAAUGGAUUAGGUUUCGUCUUUUAGAGAGAUUUCGUAUACAUUUGGAUUAGGUAGUUGGCUUAUUGGGCUCUUGUAUUGAUAGGUAAAUAUUUGUUAUACAAAGAGUCGGCAAUGGAUAUGAGUAUGGUUAUGGUGACUGUACGGUUACUUCAAAACGCAGGACUUAACAUUACACAUUCCUAGCGUUUAACGGUUAUCACUAGAAUCUCAAUCAAUAUGAUAAAUAACCGUCAUACCCGGUGUGGUUAUGAUCGAUUAAGCGGUUAGGAUUGCUAAGUCUUUGUUUAGUAUAUAAAUUGAAAAUCAGAGGAUGCAUGAGAAUAGGGGAAUGAUGAAACUGUUCGAAAUAGUAUUAGUAGUGGUGUCUAAAGGUUAUUUUGUAAUCACAAAUGGACUUGUGUGAGCACAGAUAAUGAUCCUAAACGCUGAAAACUAUUCAACAGAAUUCAUACUUGGGCUACACUGCUAAUCGCUAUAUUGAAUCCAUGCCAGAAGCUACACAAGCACCAUUACAAAAUUGAACACUUCUUCAUCCAGAUUCUCGACCGGAGUACUGCGCAUUCACCAGCACAUGUGGUUGGCACGAAUCAAAAGAUGGAAACUUCGAACGAAGAAGCAAACAGCUCAUCUCAGCAAUUGCAGAAUGCAAGAGAGACAGGAAUCUGCAUUGAGGAACAAAGUGGAAGGAGUUGCAGGCCUUCUAGCAAAGAGGAAACAGAGAAGCAGCCGUACAUCAACUCAAGAGCAAGGUGGCAGAAAUCAUGGAGAGUGGAAACAAGCAUGAAGUAGAAAGAUCAAGGCAUGGUCCACUAAACAGAGUAUAAAUGAAAAGCCGUACGAAUCAUAUCAGCCUUUGUUUCGAUCGUUUUCGGCCUCUGACAUGGCAGAGUAUUGAUAUCUGAACAUAGGGCCUAGUCGGUACAUAAUCAGCGGAACCGAUUGGUUCUCCAGAAAUGUUUGAGAAGACCUUCUACGAAAUCAGCCACCAAACUCUACCACGAUGUUUAUCAAUUGAAAGAAUCAAGAUUCAACAUCACUCAAUAAGCAUCAACACAUUCCAUAAAAUGUCACCCAAAAAGCUAUUGAUGAAACAUCACAUUCUCCAAAUAGAAUACACCUCAAGUCUCUCUCCCUCUCUAUCUAUCCUGUCAUAGAUGUGCUAGCCUAAAUUUCGUACUCUCUUAUUGCCACAUCCAGUAAUACGAAUAAUAAGAAAUCUAGAUAGCGAAAUAUGGGUUCAGACGGAGAUCACAAAACAAAACAGGCGGCUGGUUAUUAAAACAUAGAUAUAAGUUGUGGUUAUGUUCCGUACUUCUAAAUCUGACUCCCUAAAAGCAGGUUCCCCAUCACCAACAGCCUAUUGAUCCCCUCCUUCCUCCAAAUACCAUUCCAUUGCCGGGCAGUACAGCCGCCACUAGCUAGAAACUCUGCAGUCGCAUCUAGUCGGAUAUCCUCAUUUCGACCCCGAGUACAUCUUUCACCAUCUCGUAUGUCACGAAUGCAAUGGCAAUGGAUGGAACAACCUAAGAGAGAAGAUUCAAGAGGACAUUACGAAAAUGAUUAUCGAUGCUAUAAAAUCUCCUGAAUAAGAUGAGAAAUGGGUACUGACCUUUACUGAAUUGGGGACUAAACCCUUGUAUAAUGCUCCGAAACCCUCAUAUCGAACUGUUUUCCUAAAGGCAUCAACCAUACCGGUGUACUCGAGGGGAGCUCUGCCCCUUCCAUCCCCAGUUACAACUGAAGCAGCAUCCUUCCACCCUACCAUUUGCAUUCUUCGUCGAAUAACAUCGAGUGGAUAAGCAACUGUCUGGCCAACAGUUCCAGCCGCGGCUCCACAUGCAAGCCUUGUCGGUACACUCAGUUCGUUGUUUUCGACCAGGUUAAAUGUGUUGGACUUCAGCAACCAGUCUUUUAGGGAUUCAUAAACAGCAAAGUUGAGACCCACAUACGGUACCUGUAAUUGUAACAACAAUCCAUUAAGUCUUCAUAUCAGAUUGCAGGACUCAGUCAAAGAACAUCAACGCCGUAGUGCCCUAAUGAUGAUGAUAAAG